This 503-nucleotide ribosomal RNA is filed under the name uncultured bacterium. Its description in RNAcentral is "partial 16S ribosomal RNA". It matches the Rfam family "Bacterial small subunit ribosomal RNA", at positions 30 to 523 of the family's 1533-position model. The record is from RNAcentral.
AUUGAACGCUGGCGGCAGGCUUAACACAUGCAAGUCGAGCGGGGUGAUGGUGCUUGCACUAUCACUUAGCGGCGGACGGGUGAGUAAUGCUUAGGAAUCUGCCUAUUAGUGGGGGACAACAUCUCGAAAGGGAUGCUAAUACCGCAUACGUCCUACGGGAGAAAGCAGGGGAUCACUUGUGACCUUGCGCUAAUAGAUGAGCCUAAGUCGGAUCAGCUAGUUGGUGGGGUAAAGGCCUACCAAGGCGACGAUCUGUAGCGGGUCUGAGAGGAUUAUCCGCCAAACUGGGACUGGGACACGGGCCAGAAUCCUACGGGAGGCAGCAGUUGGGAAUAUUGGACAAUGGGGGGAAACCUGAUCCAGCCAUGCCGCGUGUGUGAAGAAGGCCUUAUGGUUGUAAAGCACUUUAAGCGAGGAGGAGGCUCUUUUGGUUAAUACCCAAGAUGAGUGGACGUUACUCGCAGAAUAAGCACCGGCUAACUCUGUGCCAGCCGCCGCCGUAA